CCCACUUCCAUGAGCAAUCCUUAGGGGAUCCCUUAUUGUGCAAGUCUCCUGGAGGUCAUCAGAGUAGCCUGCGAUGAAAUGUACAACAGACACUCCUGGACAAAUGUAAUUGUCUGAUUACUAGGUUCCAAUGAUAUCUCACAGCCUCGAUUGCCUGUACUCUGCACAUUCUUUUAAUUGCUCCAGUUUUCAUGACAUUUCAAGAAAUCCUGAAUGUAUGAAAUAAUUUGGAGUAUUUAUAUGAAUGUGACCUUUUCUGAGAAGAAAAUUCAGCACUAACUAAACUUCAAAGGGUUCUAAAUAAAGAGACUUCUUGUCAGC
This 321-nucleotide long non-coding RNA is filed under the name Rattus norvegicus (Norway rat). Its description in RNAcentral is "long non-coding RNA NONRATT032842". The record is from RNAcentral. Lineage: Eukaryota; Metazoa; Chordata; Mammalia; Rodentia; Muridae.